GACGAACGCUGGCGGCGUGCUUAACACAUGCAAGUCGAGCGGAAAGGCCCUUCGGGGUCCUCGAGCGGCGAACGGGUGAGUAACACGUGAGUAACCUGCCCCAGACUUUGGGAUAACCCUCGGAAACGGGGGCUAAUACCGGAUACGACACAGCUUCGCAUGGGGUCUGUGUGGAAAGUUUUUCGGUUUUGGAUGGGCUCGCGGCCUAUCAGCUUGUUGGUGGGGUGAUGGCCUACCAAGGCGACGACGGGUAGCCGGCCUGAGAGGGCGACCGGCCACACUGGGACUGAGACACGGCCCAGACUCCUACGGGAGGCAGCAGUGGGGAAUAUUGCACAAUGGGCGGAAGCCUGAUGCAGCGACGCCGCGUGAGGGAUGACGGCCUUCGGGUUGUAAACCUCUUUCAGCAGGGACGAAGCGUAAGUGACGGUACCUGCAGAAGAAGCGCCGGCCAACUACGUG
This 462-nucleotide ribosomal RNA is filed under the name uncultured bacterium. RNAcentral's name for it is "partial 16S ribosomal RNA". It matches the Rfam family "Bacterial small subunit ribosomal RNA", at positions 28 to 507 of the family's 1533-position model. The record is from RNAcentral.